RNAcentral lists this signal recognition particle RNA (148 nucleotides) under Gorilla gorilla gorilla (western lowland gorilla). Its description in RNAcentral is "Metazoan signal recognition particle RNA". It matches the Rfam family "Metazoan signal recognition particle RNA". Rfam says of the family: The signal recognition particle (SRP) is a universally conserved ribonucleoprotein. It is involved in the co-translational targeting of proteins to membranes. The eukaryotic SRP consists of a 300-nucleotide 7S RNA and six proteins: SRPs 72, 68, 54, 19, 14, and 9. The record is from Rfam by way of RNAcentral. Lineage: Eukaryota; Metazoa; Chordata; Mammalia; Primates; Hominidae.
GCCAGGCGUGGUGGUGCACGCCUGUAGUCCCAGCUACUGGGCAGGCUGAGGCAGAAGGAUUGCUUAAGCCCAGGAGGUCAAGGGUGCAGUGAGCUGUGAUCGUGCCACUGCACUCCAGCCUGGGCAAGAGAGUGAGACUCUGUCUCAA